UCUGAACCACAAGUAAAGCAGCCCUCUCCCUUCUUAUUCUUCUUGUAGGUCUUCUUUCCCUUCUUCUUGAAGUCGGUAUUCUGUUGGACAGAAUUCUUUCCCUUGGGCUUGUGGGAAUUGAAGUUCCUCCGAUGUACCAUAUUGGCAACAGAAGAGCUUUCGACCGCUUUUCCAUUGGAGUCAUUUUCUCUCGAGUUCUGCUCAACACUCAGAUGGCCGAUGAUGUCCUCUGCUGAGAACUCAUGCAUUU
RNAcentral lists this long non-coding RNA (250 nucleotides) under Hordeum vulgare. RNAcentral's name for it is "long non-coding RNA (HVUL_LNC015697)". The record is from RNAcentral. Lineage: Eukaryota; Viridiplantae; Streptophyta; Magnoliopsida; Poales; Poaceae.